Salmo salar (Atlantic salmon) is the source of this 54-nucleotide non-coding RNA. The record is from Rfam. NCBI's taxonomy places the organism in Eukaryota, Metazoa, Chordata, Actinopteri, Salmoniformes, Salmonidae.
GUAAAGAGGAUAUGUAAGUCGCUCUGGAUAAGAGCGUCUGCUAAAUGACGUAAA